UACGUAGGGGGCAAGCGUUGUCCGGAAUUAUUGGGCGUAAAGAGCGUGUAGGCGGUCCGGUAAGUCAGCUGUGAAAGUCAAGGGCUCAACCCUUGAAUGCCGGUUGAUACUGUCGGGCUAGAGUCCGGAAGAGGCGAGUGGAAUUCCCGGUGUAGCGGUGAAAUGCGCAGAUAUCGGGAGGAACACCCGUAGCGAAGGCGGCACUCUGGGCCGGUACUGACGCUGAGGAGCGAAAGCGUGGGGAGCAAACAGG
This 253-nucleotide ribosomal RNA is filed under the name uncultured bacterium. Its description in RNAcentral is "partial 16S ribosomal RNA". It matches the Rfam family "Bacterial small subunit ribosomal RNA", at positions 524 to 776 of the family's 1533-position model. The record is from RNAcentral.